RNAcentral lists this long non-coding RNA (345 nucleotides) under Vitis vinifera (wine grape). RNAcentral's name for it is "long non-coding RNA (VVIN_LNC000441)". Lineage: Eukaryota; Viridiplantae; Streptophyta; Magnoliopsida; Vitales; Vitaceae. The record is from RNAcentral.
UUUUUUUUAUCCUUUAGUCAAUGCAAGUAAUUCUUAUAUUGAAACUUGAAGAAUGAAGUUUAUUUUUCACCUUUUUAAGCAAUGAAGUUGACAGGAGGGGUGAUUUAAAUAGGGAUGUGUUAAGUGGCAUCAACCUACCUGUGCUACAGGGGUGCUUGUGAGUCAUGGGUCCUCAGAAGUGAAAGGUGCGGAUGCAUGGAGCAUUGAUUGGGGUGUUUGUGGUUGACAGAGGAAGUUAAUGGGAAGGGUCAGAUGGAAGCCAUUGCUGCUGUGUUUGGCAUAGUGUAUCUGGAAGUACUAUUCUUAUGGACCAUAAGGCCUAACAUGAGUUCCUAGAUAUGGAUG